This 71-nucleotide transfer RNA is filed under the name Marmota monax (woodchuck). Its description in RNAcentral is "tRNA.Ala". The record is from RNAcentral. Lineage: Eukaryota; Metazoa; Chordata; Mammalia; Rodentia; Sciuridae.
GGAUUUUUGUGGCUCGAAGGUAGAGCAUUCGCCUAGCAUGUGUGAGGUCCUGGGUUCGCUCCUCAGCACCA